GCCCUCCUCUCGCCAGCUGCAAUCCAGCAAUCAUGGUCAGGAUUAACCCUGCUUUUGAGCACGAGGAGCCCCUAACAGGCUUCUGCCGCAGGGCUCGGGGCGCAGGUGCCCGUGUCACCUCCCCGGGGCCCCCCAGUCACCAGGCGGUUCCUGACCUGGAGAACACCACCCAACAUGGAGGUCACCAGAGCAGUUCACAAAGCCAGGACUGACGAGUUAAGUCUCCGAAACUCUUCAUUUCCAGCAUCAGCCAGACAAAACCAAGGUACUCAGAAAAGAAGAAGGCCUGCGUUAUUCCAGACUGGACUUCAGGUGGAUUAUGCAUAGGAAAAUAAUUCAAGAUGUAACAUAGCUCUAAAAUCAAUGCACGUAAAAAAAUAUCAUUUUAUUAAAGAAGAACAAGGUGACCAAGUUGACCAACUACUGGACCACGUCUAAGAUUUGCCUGGUAAGAAGCCACCAGCAUUAAGCACCCAGUGCUGACCUAUUAUCUUAACUCUUACUUUUAUUGAGGAGCUGAGUGCUCGGCACAGAUUUUGCUGAGAAGUAACAUUUUUCAAUACAGUAAAAAAUGUCAAUGCUGAGUUUCUCCACCCUUUGCUGAGGCUCCCUCACGCCGGCUGCUGGGGGGGCAAACCCAGGACAAGGAGCCACCACUGACACAGAAGGUGGGAUUUAACUUUUUUAAUGGUUUCUAUAACACCAGAUUCCUAUUUUUCUGUUAAGAAAGCCGUGAUGGACACACAGGCACACCCCCCCUGCGCUGCUGCACCUCUGCUGGGGGUGACACCCCCAACCCCCCCCAGCAUCCACACCUCACGCUGAGCCACUAAAUCUGUGGAUUCACCUUUUUGGACCAGAUUUAUGUUCCCAGCUCCCCACCCCCAGCAGCGAGGAGG
Calidris pugnax (ruff) is the source of this 899-nucleotide long non-coding RNA. RefSeq lists it as uncharacterized. The transcript is spliced from 3 exons. Lineage: Eukaryota; Metazoa; Chordata; Aves; Charadriiformes; Scolopacidae. The record is from RefSeq and is a predicted model, not a curated record.